This 253-nucleotide ribosomal RNA is filed under the name uncultured bacterium. RNAcentral's name for it is "partial 16S ribosomal RNA". It matches the Rfam family "Bacterial small subunit ribosomal RNA", at positions 524 to 776 of the family's 1533-position model. The record is from RNAcentral.
UACGGAGGGGGCAAGCGUUGUUCGGAAUUACUGGGCGUAAAGCGCGCGUAGGCGGACCUGCAAGUCGGGGGUGAAAGCCCGAGGCUCAACCUCGGAACUGCCUUCGAUACUGCGGGUCUCGAGUCCGGGAGAGGUGAGUGGAAUUCCUAGUGUAGAGGUGAAAUUCGUAGAUAUUAGGAAGAACACCAGUGGCGAAGGCGGCUCACUGGCCCGGUACUGACGCUGAGGCGCGAAAGCGUGGGGAGCAAACAGG